This 253-nucleotide ribosomal RNA is filed under the name uncultured bacterium. RNAcentral's name for it is "partial 16S ribosomal RNA". It matches the Rfam family "Bacterial small subunit ribosomal RNA", at positions 524 to 776 of the family's 1533-position model. The record is from RNAcentral.
UACAGAGGGUGCAAGCGUUAAUCGGAAUUACUGGGCGUAAAGCGUGCGCAGACGGUUGCGUAAGUCAGAUGUGAAAGCCCCGGGCUCAACCUGGGAAUUGCAUUUGAGACUGCGUAGCUAGGGUGCGGAAGAGGGGAGCGGAAUUUCCGGUGUAGCGGUGAAAUGCGUAGAUAUCGGAAGGAACACCAGUGGCGAAAGCGGCUUCCUGGUCCAGCACCGACGUUCAGGCACGAAAGCGUGGGGAGCAAACAGG